Puntigrus tetrazona (Sumatra barb) is the source of this 3290-nucleotide long non-coding RNA. RefSeq lists it as uncharacterized. Lineage: Eukaryota; Metazoa; Chordata; Actinopteri; Cypriniformes; Cyprinidae. The record is from RefSeq and is a predicted model, not a curated record. The transcript has 3 exons.
UCAGCGGUCAGCGUUUGAAGUUCAGCCUCAGACAGUUCACAAAGCUCGGUGUACUAAUAUAGUCACGCGCAAAGAGCCUCGCUGAUUCCCAGAAAUGGCCUGCAUGUGUGGGGAAAAAACAAGAACAUACGAAAACGAACUUUUAACUGUUCGCGAUCUCCAGUCUCGCCGCACCCAUCAGCCUCGGCGUUUCUCGAAGCAAACAGCUGGAAUUCAAUGUCACACCUGCUUUCAAUCAGGUUCCGUGCUAGAGUAACUAGGAUGUUUUCCUGGAAAAAAAAAAUAGCGAGCGAGCAACACUUCGGGGUAAAGACGCAGUUUCGCGCUGUUUUGAAUAAGCCCUGGUAAUUCUCAACACAUUUGAGAGAGCAAAAGCCCUGGCGUGGGCUGUCACUGACGUGUGCCAGGACGGGAAAUACACCGGCAUCCCAGCGACUCCGGCCAUCUUGUUGACUUAAAAUCCAGAGCAAACAUCUUUUAAAUGUGUUUUUCGAGCUUCUAUUCUGUCAGAAGUUUAUCGCUGCUAGGCUCAACGAACGCCACACUUCAACAGUUGAUGGGUUUCGUUGGAUCCGUUCGUGUCAACCUUGCUGGUGUUUGCUGAGAAACAUGCCCGGAGACAGGAGAGCCAAUCGGAGAGAGCGAGGGAGGGGCCUCUGCACCAUAUGUCGAACCAGGCUGGUUUCCUGAACAACCACACAGCGCUAGUCCGGAUGUUUCGUGUCACACAGUGCUCUCUGUGUGCUAGGCCAGCUGUGCCCUUUCCUGCCCUUUUGGCUUCUCCCCUUGUUUUGCGUUAAAGGUGACCCAUAAUUCCCAUGAGUUCGGCCCUGCUCGGGUUAUUCCUCCAGAAGUCGUCAGCUGUGAGAAUACACUAACCCACAGCAGAACGACCUCUCGAGCCUCCGCUGCUGUUAGUCAGCCAAAUGUUAAGUCACUGCACACCAGCGCACAAACAAACAACAGCAUGGCUGCAACACUUUUGGUAGCAGCUGGAAUUUGGUAGAUUAUGCUUUACGGUAAGACUUGACCCUAAGUUCCCGGUGUUUAGGCUUGUAAAGCAUGGCACAAUAGGGCUUUUAUACCACUUGGAUUCUUGGCUUUCUUUUGUUUGGCACAGACUGCAUGCUUCUUUUAUUUUUUUUGCAGUUUGGCACCAGUGACCUCUCUCCACCUGCUUCUUGCUCUAAACCAGCCUGUCAGGUUAGUCUGGUUAUUAAGCCAAAGAAAAGAGCUCCGAGCGACUCACCGCUAGUUGUCUCUUCGUACUCAUACAGGUGGCAAAAAUAGCAGGUCAGAACUAACAUACAGACAGCAGUCCAAAAACAAUACUGGAAAGAACGUCAGACUAGUCAAAGGACAGUUAAUUUUCAAUUAAAAUAUCCCAAUAAAGCAUGGACCUAUGAAUCUGUGUAGAACUGUGUAGAAAAUUUAAAUUCAUAGUAUUUUUCUCCCACACAUACACAUAUGGGAUGGCACUAAGGUGACUUAAUAAUGAGAGUAUUUUGAUUUCGGAAAAAGGAUCAUUCAGUGAUGCACUUGCAACAAAAUUUUAUUUAAUAACGAAAUGUCAGUUACUGAAGUUUUCAGAUGUUUCUACUCUAAUUUGGUACCUUACAAAUAAACAUUGAGCAAUGGCUUUUUAAUGACAGAUUUAUUCAAACAUAAUAUAACGAGUAUUUAAAAUAUAUAAAAAUAUAAUGAAUAAUAAAAAAAAUAACGAAUAUUUUACGUACGUUGUUUUUUUCUUUUAGCAUACCUUCUGAUGUUCAUUUAUGUUUACUUUGUGCUGUAACUAGUAGUAAAGACGAAAAGACGAUUGGUUUACGAGCUGCUUGAACUCGUCAUCAGAGAAUAAACGUCACUGAUUUCGGCCAAAACCAAAAAUCCUUUCAUACCAGAAAUAAUAGGCAUUGGAGGCAACAAAAUACCAAGCGCAAAUUCAGUUAAGGAAUUAUAGGGAAACUCCAAAGAUGUGUGUCACCAGUGAUGCAACAGUGGUGUAAUCGGAUUAAUUUGGGGAAUGAGGAAAACCCCAUAAACCUCACAACCAUCCAUGUGAGCAGGUUUACGUGAGAUCGAAGGGAAUCACAUGAUCACGGACGUUCGGGAGCAAGAACAAGCAUCUGAGCCGUUUUGUUGGACUGCAUGUUUUUAGUCAGCAUACGAUCUUCUUGUGCAUUUCCCUUUAGAUCGGCCCCACAGUUUCUGCACGGACAGAACGUAGCCUUGUUUUUUUGUAAGAUGAGACCCUCUUUCAAGGUAGGGAGACCAUCAAAACAUUCCUUCAUCUCAAAAACAUCGUGAUUUCUUUCACAGGUGACAGAUUCAUGUCUCGCGGGAAGAAAACGAACAAAACCAUUCCCUUGAUUUCUGAAUCGGAUGGCAAACCUCGGGAAAUGCUGUGAGAAGGAUCAGCUAUGUUUGGCUAGUUCUUCAAAAUCAGAUCCUUACUCUAGCUCUAAUUCUAUGUUAAAACAAAUCAGGCAACUUUUGAUGUACAGUAAGGAGUAUUUUAAUGUAAUUACUGAGCCGGUGACAACAUGAGUUCAACUGGAAUCAAAUUCAUAAACAACAAAAACCAGGGUAAUGUGAGAUCUCACUCGGAGCAGGACCUGCCAGAAAUCACGUCUUCAGCCGUAGGAAGAGAUGUUCUUUAUUAUUAUGUGACCUCCCUGCCCACGCUUUGUGUAACAGGGCCGGCUGUAAGUGAAAGAGGUGUAGUCUUGUUUUGGUUAUCUGGUAGUUAAAGAUGCAGGCGUGCUAUUUGACCUACAUAGACGGCCAAACAGAGGUCUGUAAAAUCUCAUUGUACGGCCAGGACAGGGGUGAUAACUUGUUUACAAAGCGCUCUGAAAAAAGGGCAAGAGUGUUUUCAGUGCUCGAAACUACAUGCGAGAGUUUCAGAGAGAAAAAUGAUCCUUGCUUUUUAGUGUUUUAAUUUAAAAGCAAGGAAUAUUUUUUAUGAAGGUGACACUGAGACUGAAACUUUUUUUAAUUCCAUUGUUCUAGUUAAAAAGUGGCCACAUUAUACUAAUUUGCUCAUGAUGUAGCUUUUAUGUACAGAUUUUAAUAUUUUACCCUUAUCCCAAAAAUGUACUUUAAAUCUAUAUAUCUAUCUAUCUAUAAUUGUAUUAUUAUUAUUGUUAUUAUUUGUGUGUGAAAUGAAUUGGAACAAAUAAAAACAAAAAAAAAAAUUGAAAAUAUUAUUUUAGCAUUUGGACAAAAUGCUAUUAGCCUUAACAAACCUUAAGGAGUUCAUUUUCGGCAUGUAGUGGCAGAAUUACAUG